GCUUGGCUUCGAUAAAAUAGAUGUGUAGACGAAGGCUUCGAUGAUUUAGAGAUCCACACAACGCGCACGCCGAUAUCUCUCUUAGGCAUGUUCGAUAGUGAUUAAUCCUCCGCCAGUCAGGACGUCCACCGCUCCGGUGUUCAGUGUCGUCACUGCUCAGGUCGUCGUCGCACCACUCGGCUUUGUGUCGAUGGCGCUGCCCAGGCCGCAGGGCCUCAGCCAGCACAGCGGCGUCCGAGUUGCUGUGGAAGAAGGGCUCCUGCGGCAGCGCCGAUGGUGGUCGGCGCUUGGUCACGACUCACGAAUGGGCUCCAGUUGGACUUCAUGUUCCUUUGCUGCGCACGGAACAAAAGAAAACGAAAGAAAACGUU
Zea mays is the source of this 371-nucleotide long non-coding RNA. RefSeq lists it as uncharacterized. The transcript is spliced from 2 exons. The record is from RefSeq and is a predicted model, not a curated record. Lineage: Eukaryota; Viridiplantae; Streptophyta; Magnoliopsida; Poales; Poaceae.